UGGCUGUAGCUAAAUUAAUUCAAUUUCAGAAGCUUACUGGCCGGUUGUUGUGAUAUCCUUUUUGGGUCUCUGUCAACCAAUCUGCUUACCGAGCUUCUUACAUUC
This is a non-coding RNA of Glycine max (soybean), 105 nucleotides long. The record is from Rfam. NCBI's taxonomy places the organism in Eukaryota, Viridiplantae, Streptophyta, Magnoliopsida, Fabales, Fabaceae.